RNAcentral lists this small RNA (71 nucleotides) under Pan troglodytes (chimpanzee). RNAcentral describes it as "unitary pseudogene". The record is from RNAcentral. Lineage: Eukaryota; Metazoa; Chordata; Mammalia; Primates; Hominidae. RNAcentral also lists the same sequence under 1 other name.
GUGAAGAAUUUGGACAUUUCAAGAUCUGAAGUGAAAUUAAACUGGAAUGGCCUGUCACGAAACCCAAGGAG